This 119-nucleotide non-coding RNA is filed under the name Sporosarcina sp. RNAcentral's name for it is "SAM-I sequence". It matches the Rfam family "SAM riboswitch aptamer (S box leader)". Rfam says of the family: The SAM riboswitch is found upstream of a number of genes which code for proteins involved in methionine or cysteine biosynthesis in Gram-positive bacteria. The record is from RNAcentral. RNAcentral also lists the same sequence under 1 other name. Lineage: Bacteria; Bacillati; Bacillota; Bacilli; Caryophanales; Caryophanaceae.
CUCUUAUCCCGAGCUGGUGGAGGGAUCAGGCCCUAUGAAGCCCGGCAACCUGCAAAGACGAAAGUCUAACGCGAAGGUGCCGAACCUGAUGCAAGGCAUAGUUCCUUGGACGAUAAGAG